This 1344-nucleotide long non-coding RNA is filed under the name Panax ginseng (ginseng). RNAcentral's name for it is "long non-coding RNA (PGIN_LNC006140)". The record is from RNAcentral. Lineage: Eukaryota; Viridiplantae; Streptophyta; Magnoliopsida; Apiales; Araliaceae.
AAUUCAAUUGCAAAUCUUUACAAAUCAUAUUUGAAAUAUCAAAUUCCAAAGGAUGAAUCAAAUACAUCAAAUUCCAAAUUCUUCCACAUCAAAUACAUAAAAUACCAAGUUAUUCCAAAUCAAAUAAAUCCAAUUCUAAAACAAAUUAUGCCAAUCCUAUUCCAAAUCAACAAAAAUAUAUCCUAAACAUAAUUCCAAAUCAAAUACAUCUUAAUACCAACAACCUCAGCUCCUGCUUUCUUGAAUUUCUCAUAAGAGUCCUUGAAGGCACAUGCCUGUUAAAUUCACAGAAAAUUUGUUAGCUUUAUUGGUGGUUAGUCCAGUGAAUAUCAGUCAUGGUAAUUAAGAUUCACAACAAUACUGAACGCCUUACCAUAGGCCCCAUCUUGUUGUCACUUGUUAUUUCAUAUCUAAAAUUGCAGAAUUUGGGCUAAAUUUUUUGCACAAAUGACACCUAAGCAUUCCAGUCCAUACAACUUUGUGCUAAUUUUACUGCUUUAUGUAUUUAAUUUGAUAUAUAGUUAUUUCUUUGUUACUGUAGAUAGAUUCUUAUUAUAAUAUAAUCAACUAAAUGGAAGAUAAAGAUACCUUUAAAGAAAAUUAGAUAUAAAAACUUAGAUUAAACAAUUAGAACUAUAUGUAAUAUAUUGAUCAAACUAAGAUCCAAAGAAUCAUGAAUAAAAACUGCUGAAGUUAAAAAGUGAGGCAAUUUAAAGCAGGUACUCAGUCUGCGAUCUUCUGUUAAAAGCUCAAAAAUGGAACUUCAAAAAAAGUUAAACUCAGCAUGAAAACAUAACUUUGAGCCAAGUUGGGAAACACAAUGAGCAAAACACCCUGCAUCAAAAAAGUAGAUGGCAGCAGAAUCUUAUAUCAAACUGGCCCAGUAGCGAAACCUUAGGACGAAUUGGCCUUUAGCAAUGGAAAACUGUCCAAGCAUCCUCUAAGUUGUCAUCUUCUAUAAAUUCAAUCCUGUAUGCUCAAAACCAGACAUCAGCAACACAGCAAGGAUGAUUUACCUAUCUGUCAAAAGCUACUGUGCUGACCAACACAAAACAGCUACAUUACAAUUUCUACAUCCCAAAUUGUACACAUUAAGUUCUAUGAAAUAGUAUCUCAUAUGAAUUCUCUUUAAGGCAUGGCCGGGAUUAAUUGUAAAUAAAACACAAGACAGAAAAUCAAGCACAAAAAACUUCACCUCCUAAAAUAGUUUUGCAUGAAAUCUCAAAAUAUAUAAUUUCAGAAGACAAAUCAUUCAUUAUUAUUAUAUCCACAAACUCUUAACUAUCCGCUCAACAAGCAGAAAGGAAUUUCAAGUUUCCAUUUUUAAAAUAAACAUUGAUUAAC